Molecule: ribosomal RNA, 2184 nt
Filed under: Lucilia mexicana
Lineage: Eukaryota; Metazoa; Arthropoda; Insecta; Diptera; Calliphoridae
Description: eukaryotic LSU rRNA
Rfam family: Eukaryotic large subunit ribosomal RNA
Source: RNAcentral
CUGAAUUUAAGCAUAUUAAUGAGGGGAGGAAAAGAAACUAACAAGGAUUUUCUUAGUAGCGGCGAGCGAAAAGAAAAUAGUUCAGCACUAAGUCACUUUGUCUUUAUGGCAAAUGUGAGAUGCAGUGUAUGGAAUGUCAAAUUUCUAGUAUGAGAAAUUAACGAUUUAAGUCCUUCUUAAAUGAGGCCAUUUACCCAAAGAGGGUGCCAGGCCCGUAUAACGUUAAUGAUUACUAGAUGGCAUUUCCAAAGAGUCGUGUUGCUUGAUAGUGCAGCACUAAGUGGGUGGUAAACUCCAUCUAAAACUAAAUAUAACCAUGAGACCGAUAGUAAACAAGUACCGUGAGGGAAAGUUGAAAAGAACUCUGAAUAGAGAGUUAAAUAGUACGUGAAACUGCUUAGAGGUUAAGCCCGAUGAACCUGAAUAUCCAUUAUGGAAAAUUCAUCAUUAUGAUUUUAAUAUUUAUAAUAUUAUAAUAAUGGUGUGCAUUUUUUCUAUAAAGGACAUUGUAAUCUAUUAACAUACAUUAAUUUAUCAUAAGAUCAUUUGCGUAAGUUUAUUCAAAUUAUUUUGCUUGCAAUUUAAUAUCGAAUAAAUGCUUUUGAUUUGAUAAAGUGUUGAUAGAUUUAUUAUAUACAGUGCUUAAAUAUUUAUAUUUUAUAAUAGCAUAUUAAUCAAUGAUUUUUAUGUUCAUUAUAUGCACUUGUAUGAUUAACAAUGCGAAAGAUUCAGGAUACCUUCGGGACCCGUCUUGAAACACGGACCAAGGAGUCUAACAUAUUUGCAAGUUAUUGGGAAUAAAAACCUAAUAGCGAAAUUAACAUAACUUAUUUAAUGGGAUUAGUUUUUAGCCUAUUUAUAGUCUAUUAAUUCAAUCCCGGGGCGUUCUAUAUAGUUAUGUAUAAUAAUAUUUAUAUUAUUUAUGCCUCUAACUAGAGCGUACCUUGAGCAUAUAUGCUGUGACCCGAAAGAUGGUGAACUAUACUUGAUCAGGUUGAAGUCAGGGGAAACCCUGAUGGAAGACCGAAACAGUUCUGACGUGCAAAUCGAUUGUCAGAAUUGAGUAUAGGGGCGAAAGACCAAUCGAACCAUCUAGUAGCUGGUUCCCUCCGAAGUUUCCCUCAGGAUAGCUGGUGCAUUUAAAAAUUAUGUAAAAUAAUCUUAUCUGGUAAAGCGAAUGAUUAGAGGCCUUAGGGUCGAAACGAUCUUAACCUAUUCUCAAACUUUAAAUGGGUAAGAACCUCACCUUUCUUGGUAUGAAGGUUGUGGUUGUGAUAUAAUGUGCCCAGUGGGCCACUUUUGGUAAGCAGAACUGGCGCUGUGGGAUGAACCAAACGUAAUGUUACGGUGCCCAAAUUAACAACUCAUGCAGAUACCAUGAAAGGCGUUGGUUGCUUAAAACAGCAGGACGGUGGACAUGGAAGUCGUAAUCCGCUAAGGAGUGUGUAACAACUCACCUGCCGAAGCAACUAGCCCUUAAAAUGGAUGGCGCUUAAGUUGUAUACCUAUACAUUACCGCUAAAGUAGAUGGUUUAUGUUCAAUCUCGGUUGGAUUAUAAACUUUGAAACUUUAGUGAGUAGGAGGGUACAAUGGUAAGCAUAGAAGUGUUUGGCGUAAGCCUGCAUGGAGCUGCCAUUGGCACAGAUCUUGGUGGUAGUAGCAAAUAAUCGAAUGAGACCUUGGAGGACUGAAGUGGAGAAGGGUUUCGUGUGAACAGUGGUUGAUCACGAGUUAGUCGGUCCUAAGUUUAAGGCGAAAGCCGAAAAUUUUCAAGUUAUAAUGAAAAGUAAAAUUUUUACUUAGUAAUUAAACACUUGAAUAAUUUUGAACGAAAGGGAAUACGGUUCCAAUUCCGUAACCUGUUGAGUAUCCGUUUGUUAUUAAAUAUGGGCCUUGUGCUCAUCCUGGCAACAGGAACGACCAUAAAGAAGCCGUCGAGAGAUAUCGGAAGAGUUUUCUUUUCUGUUUUAUAGUCGUACUACCAUGGAAGUCUUUCGAAGAGAGAUAUGGUAGAUGGACUAGAAGAGCAUGACAUUUACUGUUGUGUCGAUAUUUUCUCCUCGGACCUUGAAAAUUUAUGGUGGGGUCACGCAAACUUCUCAACAGGCCGUACCAAUAUCCGCAGCUGGUCUCCAAGGUGAAGAGUCUCUAGUCGAUAGAAUAAUGUAGGUAAGGGAAAGUCG